GUUCAAAUUGAUUGACGGACGUAGCUCCAGUUUACUCCUGAACGCUCCUGGACAGGUACGCGCUGUGCAGCAUGCGAAACACUGCAUUAGGAGAAUUGAGAUGUCCUUAAUGAUGGCGGUGGAAAUUGAUUUCCAGGACAAGUGGAGGACGGGCACAAAGGAGAAAUGAAAUAAGAGAGAUGAGAUGCACCGGUGGCUUGGCUGAAGCUGAAAGAAAUCGAGCCAAGAAAGAUCCAUUCUGUCUAAUUGGAGCUGAUGAGGACGGGGACUUCAUUAACGGCUUGCUAUGAAUUAUUAUGCAGUGUAAUUGGCCCUCCAGUCCCAUAGGAGGUGCCCUGCUCCAGCUGGUCCAACUGGAGGAGGCUCCUCUGGCCCAGGUGUAAGCUUUUGUACAGCUGAGGUCUGACUUUAUCCCAGCAGCUGUUCCAUUUGUCUCCAUGUCAGAAAGUCCAUCAGAUUCUGACUUGAAUGUUUCCAUGUAUUGUUGAAUUAAAUGGGUUUUCAACAGAUACUUUAGAAUUGCCCAUAUUUAUAGUCUAUUUGUAAAAAUAAUCAUUGAAAUCUUUUUGUUCCAUAAUCACGAGUUAAUUAACAUGUGUUAAUGAAUUUUGAGAUGCUAAUUGAGAGCCAGUGUUUACACCACAAUAAGCAAUGCAUUCAGGCAGAUGAAAAGAGCUCCUGACUGAUGUAUGGCUGGCUGCUGCUGCACGGCCCAUCGCUCCUUAAAAUGUA
Amphiprion ocellaris (clown anemonefish) is the source of this 732-nucleotide long non-coding RNA. The record is from Ensembl. NCBI's taxonomy places the organism in Eukaryota, Metazoa, Chordata, Actinopteri, Pomacentridae.